CGACCUGGUGAUGUAGAUUUUAAGAACUUAAGACAUGAUAAGUAAUUGGAAAAGGAAGCAGUAAAGGUGAUCUAUACUAUCUUUACAUGACUAAGUCUUUUGAACCCUCUCUCUCUCUACUUGCUUUGAGUAGUAGCUGUGGGUGAUUGCACUUUAUGGCUUGUGAUGCAAGCUCAAAUUACCCUAGACCUAACUUUUUUUCUCAAAUAAGAGAUCAAUUGCAAUACUUGGGGAUGAAAUCCACAUGG
Molecule: long non-coding RNA, 248 nt
Filed under: Brassica napus (rape)
Lineage: Eukaryota; Viridiplantae; Streptophyta; Magnoliopsida; Brassicales; Brassicaceae
Description: long non-coding RNA (BNAP_LNC005057)
Source: RNAcentral